CUGUUGAUGGCAUUGUGUUCAGCACGGCUGAGGUUAUGGGGUGACCGUAGGAGCUGAGAGUAUGACCCCAAAUUCAUGUGACUGGGAACGUCUGCAGCAGCAUCAAACCAGCUGGAGUCAACUCAUAGAGAGGACCUCGGGUUCCAUCAGGGAUGAGUAUGGCACAGUGUGUUUCUAAGGACUCUAGCCUGAAGGGGAACUGAGGCAGAGGGGGGAUGAAGUGACUUGCCUAGAGUCACAGAGGAAGUCCACGGCCGAGACAGGAACUGAGCCCAGGUCUCCUCGCCCCCUGUAGAUUUCAACAGGUCUGGAGUUCUCUUCACCGCAAUCCUGAGAGGGGCUGAGAACUCAGCUUCUACUGAUUUCAGUGAGUGAGAAGGAGGAUGAUUCACAUGGGGUCUUAGCAUCCCACAGCUUCCAAGCAAGCCAACAUCAAACGAUGGUCAAUGUAAUGAAGUUAUUAAUGAGUCUGAUCUUAAUGAAUACGAGUGAAGAUCCUAAUUUCUUGGAGCAC
Molecule: long non-coding RNA, 514 nt
Organism: Mauremys mutica (yellowpond turtle)
Lineage: Eukaryota; Metazoa; Chordata; Testudines; Geoemydidae
Exons: 4
Source: RefSeq, a predicted model, not a curated record